UACGUAGGGAGCAAGCGUUGUUCGGAUUUACUGGGCGUAAAGGGCGCGUAGGCGGCCACCGCAAGUCGACUGUGAAAUCUCCGGGCUUAACCCGGAAAGGUCAGCCGAUACUGCGGGGCUAGAGUGCAGAAGGGGCAACUGGAAUUCUCGGUGUAGCGGUGAAAUGCGUAGAUAUCGAGAGGAACACCUGCGGCGAAGGCGGGUUGCUGGGCUGACACUGACGCUGAGGCGCGUAAGCUAGGGGAGCGAACGGG
Molecule: ribosomal RNA, 254 nt
Filed under: uncultured bacterium
Lineage: Bacteria
Description: partial 16S ribosomal RNA
Rfam family: Bacterial small subunit ribosomal RNA
Source: RNAcentral